RNAcentral lists this ribosomal RNA (1850 nucleotides) under oral metagenome. RNAcentral describes it as "bacterial LSU rRNA". It matches the Rfam family "Bacterial large subunit ribosomal RNA", at positions 264 to 1999 of the family's 2925-position model. The record is from RNAcentral.
AGCCCAAACCAAAUAUAUGUUAAAGCCCGGAAGCGUUGUAUAUUUGGUGUCGUGGGGGUAGACCGGAUGGAAUUCCGGAUCCGUCGGAAAGUGAUAAACCUGAUUUAUAGAUGAAAUGCCUGGAACGGCAUGCCAUAGGGAGUGAUAGCCUCGUAAUCGAAAUAAAUCAGACUUUCUGGGUCUAUUACCCAAGUACCACGGGACACGUGGAACCCUGUGGGAAUUCGGGAGGACCAUCUCCUAAGGCUAAAUACUACUCGGUGACCGAUAGUGAACCAGUACCGUGAGGGAAAGGUGAAAAGUACCCCUGUGAGGGGAGUGAAAUAGUACCUGAAACCGUUUGCCUACAAGCUGUGGGAGGACGAUGUGACCCGGUUGCUUGCAACCCAGUCACCGUCUGACCGCGUGCCUUUUGCAUAAUGAGUCAGCGAGUUACGCUACGUAGCAAGGUUAAGCCGUUAGGUGUAGCCGGAGCGAAAGCGAGUCUGAAUAGGGCGAUUUAGUUGCGUGGAGUAGACCCGAAACCAAGUGAUCUAUCCAUGGCCAGGGUGAAGCGCCAGUAAAAUGGCGUGGAGGCCCGAACCAUUGCAGGUUGAAAACUGCUUGGAUGAGCUGUGGAUAGGGGUGAAAGGCCAAACAAACUUGGAAAUAGCUGGUUCUCCCCGAAAUAUAUUUAGGUAUAGCCUCGCAUCAUGAGUGACGGGGGUAGAGCACUGGAUGGGCUAGGGGUCCUACCAGAUUACCAAACCUAACCAAACUCCGAAUACCGUUUACUUUUAUUGCGGGAGUCAGACUACGGGAGCUAAGUUCCGUGGUCAAGAGGGAAACAGCCCAGAUCGCCAGCUAAGGUCCCUAAAUAUGUGCUAAGUGGGAAAGGAUGUGGAAAUGCCCAGACAACCAGGAGGUUGGCUUAGAAGCAGCCACCCUUUAAAGAAAGCGUAACAGCUCACUGGUCGAGUGAGUCUGCGCCGAAAAUGUAACGGGGCUCAAGCACAUUACCGAAGCUGCGGGUCUCACAUUUAUGUGAGACGGUAGGGGAGCAUUCUGUCAAGGUUGAAGGUCGACCAUAAGGACGGCUGGACAUGACAGAAGAGAUUAUGCUGACAUGAGUAACGAUAAAGCGGGUGAAAAACCCGCUCGCCGUAAGCCCAAGGAUUCCUGAGUAAAGCUAAUCUGCUCAGGGUUAGUCGAUCCCUAAGCCAAGGCCGAAAGGCGUAGGUGAUGGAAAACAGGUUAAUAUUCCUGUACCACCUAGCUAUCAAUUUCUUUUCGGAGAAGAGAGUGAUUGGGGGGACGCAGAAGGGUAGGUCAGCCACCUGUUGGAAUAGGUGGUUCAAGCUGGUAGGCGGAAAGAACAGGCAAAUCCGUUUUUUCAUUCAACGCCGAGAAGUGAUGAGGAUGCGCUUUGCGCAACAAACUGAUUGAUCCCAUACUGCCAAGAAAAGCCUCUAGCGAGAUAGCAAGGUGAUCGUACCGCAAACCGACACAGGUGGGCAGGGAGAGAAUCCCAAGGCGCUUGAGAGAACCCUGGUUAAGGAACUCGGCAAAAUGACACCGUAACUUCGGGAUAAGGUGUGCCUCCAUUAGGUGUAGCGUUUUACAUGUGAAGCCGAAGGGGGCCGCAGAGAAAUGGCGGUAGCGACUGUUUACUAAAAACAUAGGACUCUGCUAAGUCGUAAGACGAUGUAUAGGGUCUGACGCCUGCCCGGUGCCGGAAGGUUAAGGGGAUUUGUUAUCUCGAUUCGUCGAGAGAAGCUUUGAACCGAAGCCCCGGUAAACGGCGGCCGUAACUAUAACGGUCCUAAGGUAGCGAAAUUCCUUGUCGGGUAAGUUCCGACCUGCACGAAUGG